Molecule: ribosomal RNA, 1435 nt
Filed under: human gut metagenome
Description: bacterial LSU rRNA
Rfam family: Bacterial large subunit ribosomal RNA
Source: RNAcentral
CCGCUUCUCCUGAAAAUGCGGGGGCAAGGGAGUUAGCCGACAGCCAGGCAAAUCCGGCUGUCGAAAGGCAAAGGCGUGAGGCGUAUGGAAAGCUGCGGCAAGUACAGAAGUCCGUGAAGCCAGCUUCCAAGAAAAGCUUCUAGUGAUAAUCAUACAGUAACCCGUACCGAAAAUGGACACACAUGGGUGAGGAGAGAAUCCUAAGGUGAGCGAGAGAACUAUAGCUAAGGAACUCUGCAAAAUGACUCCGUAACUUAGGGAUAAGGAGUGCUCAUAGAGAUAUGAGCCGCAGUGAAACGGCCCAAGCGACUGUUUACCAAAAACACAGCUCUAUGCUAAGUCGAAAGACGACGUAUAUGGGGUGACGCCUGCCCGGUGCUGGAAGGUUAAGAGGAUGUGUCAGCGCAAGCGAAGCAUUGAAUUGAAGCCCCAGUAAACGGCGGCCGUAACUAUAACGGUCCUAAGGUAGCGAAAUUCCUUGUCAGGUAAGUUCUGACCCGCACGAAAGGCGUAACGAUUUGGGCGCUGUCUCAGCUGUAGACUCGGUGAAGUCUUAGUACCUGUGAAGAUGCAGGUUACCCGCGACUAGACGGAAAGACCCCAUGGAGCUUUACUGUAGCUUGAUAUUGGACUUUGAUGCAAGAUGUACAGGAUAGGUAGGAGACUGAGAGACAUGCACGCCAGUGUGUGAGGAGUCAAUGUUGGGAUACUACUCUUCUUGUAUUGGAGUUCUAACCGGAUGCCAUGGAACUGGCAACGGGACAGUGUCAGGUGGGCAGUUUGACUGGGGCGGUCGCCUCCCAAAGAGUAACGGAGGCGCCCAAAGAUACCCUCAGCUUGGAUGGAAAUCAAGCGCAGAGUGCAAAGGCAUAAGGGUGUUUGACUGCGAGACCUACAAGUCGAGCAGGGACGAAAGUCGGGCUUAGUGAUCCGGCGGUGCUGAAUGGAAAGGCCGUCGCUCAACGGAUAAAAGCUACCCUGGGGAUAACAGGCUGAUCUCCCCCAAGAGUUCACAUCGACGGGGAGGUUUGGCACCUCGAUGUCGGCUCAUCGCAUCCUGGAGCUGAAGUCGGUUCCAAGGGUUGGGCUGUUCGCCCAUUAAAGCGGUACGCGAGCUGGGUUCAGAACGUCGUGAGACAGUUCGGUCCCUAUCUGUCGUGGGCGUAGGAAGUUUGAGAAGAUCUGUCCUCAGUACGAGAGGACCGGGAUGGACAUAUCAAUGGUGCACCAGUUGUCACGCCAGUGGCACAGCUGGGUAGCUAAAUAUGGAAGGGAUAAACGCUGAAGGCAUCUAAGUGUGAAACCCACUUCAAGAUGAGACUUCCCAUUACGCAAGUAAGUAAGACCCCUUAAAGACGAUAAGGUUGAUAGGUCAGGAGUGUAAGCAUGGCGACAUGUUCAGCGGACUGAUACUAAUAGGUCGAGGACUUAACCU